AGUGAGAUCCCUGUUGCUGGAAGAAUAAAUAGGCUGAAAAAUCCUCUGCACUUCAAUAUGCAGUAUUGAUUGCUGCACUGUGUCAUAAUGUCAGCUGUAGCCUUCCUUCCUUCUCAGUUCCCACACAGUAACACUUUCUUUGAGGUGAAAACCAACUGCCUGUCGUUUCUGCAGAAACCACUCCCAGCUGAGACAGGUGCCUCCAGAGGCAGUAAAGGGAAUAGAAAUGAGAGGCAGGUGUGCAUGGUUGUCAUAUCAUCCUGCAGCAUCCCUGCAAUGAUGCAAAUUCAGUCACACAUUUCUGGGUUUAUGUUAAGUUUGUAGAUGUGGGCUGUGUGACUGGCACCUUCUCUUGGCACGUUAAUUCUGUCUGCCUCUCACUUCUACAGAGCUGGUUGUGCAGAUGGAGGUACAGAAAUGCCCUGCAUCGGCAGUGAAGUGACCACAUCUGUUAAGGAAGUUUUGAGCUCUAGGAGUCGCUGUGCAUGGGAGGAUUGAAAGGGUGAGAAUUUCCCCCUUUUAUUAACUCUGCUUUUCUGAAAGAAGUCAGCAAAAACAGGUAUGGAAAUAAUUCCUUCCGGAGAGGGGUAUUCUGGGAUGAUUUGUCAGCUAAUUGGAUACUUUUUGGAUACAAGCACAUGUUGCUUGGCAAAAUGUGUAAGUAAAGGUCAGGACGCUUUGAGAAGGAAUUAAGUCCUGAGAUUAGUUAGCUGAUGAUGGAAAGAGUCAUUACUUUAAUGUCACUGAAGGCAAGUAUGGAUUUGCAUUUCUGAAGUCCUUUUGCCUUUUUUUUUUUUUUUUUUUGAAAUGGAGUUGACUGAUUUUAUUUUUUCUUCAAGAGCAGUAAAAUGAUGUUCAUUCAGGGCUUAAUGUGGCCAUACCUACAGGUUAACACACUGGAAAUAUCUUCAUUCUGUCAUCUCUCUGCUGCUCUAUGGGGAAAGCAGGCUGACAUGGUUAUUAAAUCUGGCAGCUGUGUUGUGUGCACAUAGGAAUUGAGCAGAGUACAGCAUAUAGAAAACCAGUGGCUUCCUUUCACUGCUACAAGGCUUGAAAGGCAGACUAAAAAGCUUUCUCCUUUUGUAAUCACCAGUUGCUGGAACAGAGCACGAAUACUACAAAUACAGUGGCAAACAUAUGUCUGCAAAUUGAAGAUAGCUCUUUCAAUUUUUUUUUUCAGUUGCAAAAUUACAUUCCUGCUAAUCUACACAUGAACUGUGAAAACACGAGGGUUACCCCAAAAGUAAUGGCAAGGUAAUGGCUGUUUUAGUGAGGAUCUCACGUGGAUCGACUGCAACAAGGGAUCUUGGCAGAGAGGUCUUGGAGGAAAGAAGAGGUACCUGAAGACUGGAGGAUAGCCAGUGUCACUACAAAAAGGGCAAGGAGGAGGAUCUGGGAAACUACAGGCCAGUCAGUCUCACCUCUGUUCCUGGGAAAGUGAUGGAACAGCUUGUUCUGGUUGCACCUCCAAACAAUUGGAAGAGAAGGUCAUCAGGAGCAGGAUGGAUGGGGAUCAGCAUGGAUUCACCAAGGGGAAAUCAUGCUCAACCAACCUCGUAGCCUUCUGUGAUGGCAUCUCUGGCUGGGUAGAUGUGGGGAGACCUGUGGAUAUUGUCUAUGUUGAUGUCAGCAAGGCUUUUGAUACUGUCGCCCACAUCAUCCUGAUAGUGACGCUGAGAAAGUGUGGGAUAGAUAUGUGAGCAGUGAUGUGGGUUGAGAACUCGCUGAGCUCAAAGGGUGGUGAUCAGUGGUGCAGAGUCCAACUGCAGACCUGUGACUAGCAGUGUUCCCCAGGGGGUCAGUGAUGGAUCUCAUCUUGUUCAAUAUCUUCAUCAAUGACCUUGAUGAGGAGAUAGUGUCCACUCUCAGCAAGUAUGCUGAUGAUACAGAGCUGGGAGGAGCGGCUGACACACCUGAUGGCUGUGCUGCCAUUCAGCAAGACCUGGAUAGGCUGGAGAGCUGGGCGGUAAGAAACCAGAUGGGGUUUAAUAAAAGCAGAUGUAGAGUCCUGCACCUGAGAAGAAAUAACUGCAAUUAUCAGUACAGGUUGUUGCAUGACCUAGAGAGGAGCUCUGCAGAGGACCUGGGGCUCCUAGUGGACCAAAGGUUGGCCAUGAGGCAGCAGUAUGCCCUUGUGGCCAAGAGUACCAAUGGAAUCCUGGGGUGCAUUAAAAGAAGCAUGGCCAGCACAUCAAGAGAGAGGUGAUCCUCCCCCUCUGCUAUGCCAUGGUGAGGCCUUACCUGGAAUGGACAGGGGAAAUGGCUGUUAACUGGAGCAUAGGAAGUUCUGUGCCAACAUGUGAAAGAUGGAGGGUGGUGGAGCACUGGAGCAGGCUAACCAGAGAGGCUGUGGAGUCUCCUCUGGAGGCAUACCUGUGCAGUCUGCUGUAGGAAUCCUGCUUUUGCAGGGGGGUUGGACACAAUCUUUAGAGGUCUCUUCCAACCCCUAGGAUUCUGUGACUGUAGACAUUAGGUGGGACAGUGAUAUUUGAAUUGCAUAAGGUGUAAGGCUUCUUCCCAGGUGAUGUUUGAAGUUUCUGAGACCAAAUUGAGAUCAUUUUGGAUUUUGCAAUAGAACCUAUGUAUCCAGUA
Molecule: long non-coding RNA, 2592 nt
Organism: Tympanuchus pallidicinctus (lesser prairie-chicken)
Lineage: Eukaryota; Metazoa; Chordata; Aves; Galliformes; Phasianidae
Exons: 3
Source: RefSeq, a predicted model, not a curated record